CCGAACCGACUAAUGUUGAAAAAUUAGCGGAUGACCUGUGGCUGGGGGUGAAAGGCCAAUCAAACCGGGAGAUAGCUGGUUCUCCCCGAAAGCUAUUUAGGUAGCGCCUCGUGAAUUCAUCUCCGGGGGUAGAGCACUGUUUCGGCUAGGGGGCCAUCCCGGCUUACCAACCCGAUGCAAACUGCGAAUACCGGAGAAUGUUAUCACGGGAGACACACGGCGGGUGCUAACGUCCGUCGUGAAGAGGGAAACAACCCAGACCGCCAGCUAAGGUCCCAAAGUCAUGGUUAAGUGGGAAACGAUGUGGGAAGGCCCAGACAGCCAGGAUGUUGGCUUAGAAGCAGCCAUCAUUUAAAGAAAGCGUAAUAGCUCACUGGUCGAGUCGGCCUGCGCGGAAGAUGUAACGGGGCUAAACCAUGCACCGAAGCUGCGGCAGCGACACUGUGUGUUGUUGGGUAGGGGAGCGUUCUGUAAGCCUGUGAAGGUGUGUCGUGAGGCAUGCUGGAGGUAUCAGAAGUGCGAAUGCUGACAUAAGUAACGAUAAAGCGGGUGAAAAGCCCGCUCGCCGGAAGACCAAGGGUUCCUG
This 586-nucleotide ribosomal RNA is filed under the name Salmonella enterica subsp. enterica serovar Enteritidis. RNAcentral's name for it is "partial 23S ribosomal RNA". It matches the Rfam family "Bacterial large subunit ribosomal RNA", at positions 774 to 1357 of the family's 2925-position model. The record is from RNAcentral. Lineage: Bacteria; Pseudomonadati; Pseudomonadota; Gammaproteobacteria; Enterobacterales; Enterobacteriaceae.